RNAcentral lists this ribosomal RNA (496 nucleotides) under uncultured bacterium. RNAcentral describes it as "partial 16S ribosomal RNA". It matches the Rfam family "Bacterial small subunit ribosomal RNA", at positions 28 to 507 of the family's 1533-position model. The record is from RNAcentral.
GACGAACGCUGGCGGCGUGCCUAACACAUGCAAGUCGAGCGGUGAAGUUUUGUGCUUGCACCGAUUUGAAGAGCAGCGCACGGGUGAGUAACGUGUGGGGAAUCUGCCUUUGAGCGGGGGACAACCUUGGGAAACGAAUGCUAAUACCGCAUAACAACUUUAAACAUAAGUUUUAAGUUUGAAAGAUGCCAUUGCAUCACUCAAAGCUGAUCCCGCGUUGUAUUAGCUAGUUGGUGAGGUAAAGGCUCACCAAGGCGAUGAUCAAAAGCGGACGUGAGGGGCGGACGGCCGACAUGGGAAGGGGACAAGGCCCAAACCUCCUCGGGAAGGAGCAAGAGGGGAACUUCGGCCAUGGGCGGAAAGCCUGACGCAGAACGCCGCGGGAGGGAAGAAGGGUGUCGGGUCGGAAAAGUCGGUUUGUAGGGAAGAAAGUGGGUGAGGGUGGAAAGUGCAGUAAGUGACGGUAACGACACAAAAAGGGACGGCUAACUACGUG